ACUUAGAUAGUUUAUAAAAAAAAUAUUAAUUUGUGGAGUUAAAGAAAUAAAAAGGUUAUUCUAGGUA
Molecule: transfer RNA, 67 nt
Filed under: Domecia hispida
Lineage: Eukaryota; Metazoa; Arthropoda; Malacostraca; Decapoda; Domeciidae
Description: tRNA-His
Source: RNAcentral